UUGAUAUGUCAGAAAUCAACCCACAAAUUUUCAGAGUUUUUCAGUAAGGUUUGCUAACUUGUUGAUCUACUUUAAUCUCUCCAAAAUCCUGAAAAAAAAAACUGCUUAGCAGAUUCAAACUUGCUCUCUCUGUAAAAUUUAUUUCAAAACCUCUUUUUGAAGUUUGGUUUCAGCCAAAGUCUUCUACUAACUUUCUUCUAACACCCUGAGGAGUGGCAUACCCUGGAUCACUCUCUAACCCUUUCUUCUCUCCCUCCAAAAAUCCAAUCAGCUGCUAACUGCACUGUCAACUGCUGCUAACCAACACUGUCAACACAUGUUCAUCACUCCAUCAAACCUAAACCAGAGACUUCUAACCCAACCCACUUCAGCACAUUUACUCUCCACAUCACCCCUGACCAAGAGGAUAUCUAGCCAGAUUUCUUGCUGCUCAAAAUCCACCUUGAAUCCCCUCCAAAGAUCCUUGGCAGGUAACCCUCAUUGACUUAGCCUCCAAGGCUAUUUUCGAAUUUCUUUCACUGACAGUGGGCCCCACAACCCCCGGGACCCACAUGACAGCCUCCCACUCUCCCCUCACAGCAUCCACCGUUCCUCAUGCCCAAUAAAUGCCCAAGGAACACAAUGAGUGCACCAGCCACCUCUCUCUCUCUCACUCCCCCACUCCACUCUUCCUUAUUUCCCAAGCCAAAGCACCAGAAGCAACAGCUCGCUCCCCACAUCGCGUUCCAAGUCCAAGAAAACACACCCCACGCACAGAAUGCCCAGAGCUCGGCCAUCUUCCCCGGCUCCGGCGACUUAGCCGUCGUCGCCGUGCAUCCCCGGACCAAUCUGUCGAGCACGUGGUGGGCGUCACCGUCCUCGCCGCCGGCCACCCGAACCGCCGACGCCGCUCCGGCCGCCGUUCCUCACCACCGAAGCAACACCAAGCUCCGGUGAGUUUCCGCCGGAUUCCUCGCGCAUGCACCCUCUGUGGCUCAUCUCUAACACCCCCGUACUCUCGAAGUUACAGUUCGCGCC
RNAcentral lists this long non-coding RNA (1017 nucleotides) under Oryza sativa Indica Group (long-grained rice). RNAcentral describes it as "lncRNA OsZS97_01G031740". The record is from RNAcentral. Lineage: Eukaryota; Viridiplantae; Streptophyta; Magnoliopsida; Poales; Poaceae.